Pelobates cultripes (western spadefoot toad) is the source of this 6378-nucleotide non-coding RNA. The record is from the annotation of a GenBank genome assembly. Lineage: Eukaryota; Metazoa; Chordata; Amphibia; Anura; Pelobatidae.
AUUGAAUGAUCUGAACAAAACAACCCGCAUGAGAAGGAGAGGACACCCAUGGAGGCAUAUAUUAUGGAUAUCACUACCUGUUUGUAAUUUCUCUGACUGUCUGCAGCCAGGUUAUGAAUUAAAAGCAGUUCACUCAGUGCUGUUUGGGCUGAGACUUUGUGCAUACAUUGAUAAGGAAAUCUUUCUGGCAUGAGGUACGUGACUAUAGGGACAGCCUUAUGGAGCAGAAUUCUGAAAACCCUUUUUUUUUCUAUGCAAAAACUAUAAAGAGUUAAGAAUGGCCAAAAGUUAUCAAAUACACUAAAACUGUAUUGGUGCCUGAAGUGUCCCUUUAAGAUUAUUCUGUCUCAUUAUCUCCCUGCACAGUGCAGGUAAAUGCACAAUUCACGGAGACAAAUGCCAACUUGCCAUCCUGGCCAUAGUUUAUUAUCGGCCAGAAACGCAGCUUCUUUAACUGCUCCCACGCAUAGGUUAAUUAGUGCCACUCCUGAGCCACACCUAUACACAAUAACUCUUGGUCUAUCAGCAUGAAAGUCACUGUUCUACAUGUAGUUUCGUUUUCCAGAAUUCAGUUGUCUUAAAGUGACAGUAUGUGACUGUCAGAUAUGGGCCGAUUUAGCGAGGAAGGUUCAUUAUGGGGUCCUCUAUCUAGGCUGGGGUCCUUUCAACAGCUAGAUGUAUCUCUGUGUGACUGCCUGUAGUUUGCUUAUAUACUAUGCAUUUGUUAGUUUAUAUAUUAUACAUUUUAUUUGCAUGUUUAUUAUAUAGCUUGUAGUCUUACAUGCUGUAUUAUGUGUUAUAGGCAGUUGCAUAUAAAGCCCAGUUUUCUUAUUUUUAUUAUCGAUCGAGUAGAUGAUCAAUUAUGUGUCAGUUUGCCAUCCUGCAUUAGCCAUCAGUUCAACAACAAAUUAAUUAACCUAAUGGUAGGUAUUUGCACCAUUUGGAUUACAGAAUAGACAAAAGGGCCCAAAGAGGUCAUAUGAGUCCAAAGAUGGAGAUACUUCCAAUAAAUCAAAUAAUGGUAGAAAAACAUUAUUAGAAAAUGCAGGUCUAUUUGUCUAUUCUGUAAUCCAAUGGAAUUAUUGUAAAUUAUCCCCACUUGGAGCCUCUCAGGCACAGUUAUUUGGUUCCCUAGUGGCACCUUUUUGUUAUUUGCACAGUUUAUAUCAGUUUAAAAAGUUUUUGUUUUUUAACAGUUUAUUACAUUCCUAGGCAGAUGAUCUUGUGGGAUCAUCGGAUAUCUUGGACUAAUCUACAAUCCUCUAGACAUUAUGGAUAAUCUAUGAUAUAUGUGUGUCAUAAAGCUAAGAAAUAUGCAUGUAAACAUAUAAAAUAUUCACAGGUUUUGCAAAAAAUAAUAUAAAUAUUCUUCUUACCAACACCCACUGACAUGCACCAGUAGGGACUAGAGCGAUAUCAAUAAAGCACCGACAAUUAAAAUCCAAUCAUGGUGAAAGGGUUAGCUAUAAAGCAAUAUGGACCUUUUUAUAGAUGCCCCUAGUGGCUAAAUUUGCAAUUGUAACUUAAAAAUGUCAGUUUUACUGAAACAGUUUAACCCUUAGGCUGAUGACUCAAGGACAAUAUAUCAGAGGUAUAUUUUUUAUGCAGUAAGCUGUGUUCUGCUCUGCAUGGGAAGUAGAAAAAUGAAAGCCAUAUUAACACACAAAUUUCAUGACAUUCAUAACGAGCCAGGUACAUAAGCAACCAUAAACACAUAUACUUAAUAUCACGUAAUCACACAGCUAUUUAGCCAUAACCAUACGUAGUCAGCACAUGCACACACACAUACAGUCACUCACACACACACGUUCAUAUAUCUAAACACUCACUCAAACAUACCUACAUAAAUAGAUGAAUGCAUGUGUAUCUAGCCAUUUACAUACAAACAUUCACAACUACCUAUGCAAACACAUCAUACAUAUUUCAGACAAAAUUAACUUCUCUACCCUUGCUCGUUUACCUGUGUACCAGCAAUGAGGAGAGGUGUAAGGAAUCUCCCAGGUGUCUAAUGGGGCAGAGUGGGUGAGUGACACAGUGUAAUAGACAUAGGCAUGCGCAGCCUAUUGCAUUAGGGUGUGCACCCUAAAGCACAAACACACGCCGCAUGUAUACCAUAGGCGUGCGCACAGGGUGUGCCUGGGCACACCCUAAUCCCCGUGGCACGCCUAUGGUUUGAGUCCUGCAGGAACAGCGUUCCUGCACUUUUUUUUGAGCAGGAAUGCUGUUCCUGCAGGCACUCAGCGCCCCCUGUCUCACAUCUUGCCCCUGUCAUGGGUGGGGGGCAAGAGGUGAUGGAUACCCCCCGCUCUGCAUCUCAGCCGCGGCGAGGGAGCUGUCUGCUCUCUGCUUCCUCUCGCCGCGCGCUGAUGCCAGGAGCCGGAAUAUGACGUCAUAUUCCGGCUCCCAGCUACAGCAGACAGCCCGCGCAGUGAGAGGGAGCAGAGAGCAGACAGCUCCCUCGCCGCAGAUGAGAUGCAGACAGGCACCCGGCCCACUGGACCCCAGGGAAAAGUCCACGCCAGCAAUCCAGGUAGGGAGGCUGGGUGGACAUUGUAUUAUUAAAAUAUAAUAAUUUGUAUGUGUGUGUGUCUGUGAGUGUAUGUGUGUGUGUCUGUGAGUGUAUGUGUGUGAAUGUGUGUGUCUGUGAGUGAGUGUGUGUGUGUCUGUGAGUGUAUGUAUGUGUGUCUGAGUGUAUGUGUGUGUGUCUGUGUGUGUGUGUCUGUGAAUGUGUGUGUGUGUGUGUGUAUAUUAUUUUUUGGGGGGGGUGGGAAUCCCAAUCUCCCCUUUCGGCUCACGCAGAGCCAGCGCUAUCUGAGUGCUGGCUCUGCUCUAAGCCUCCAUGGGCCGGCGGGGAGACCAAAGAUCUACCUCACCGGUCUACAGCAGCAUGGAGGGAGGCAGGGGAGGACCCAGGGAGCUCUAGACAGAAGCUCCGCCAGAUUCCUCUCGCGAUAUCUGACCGUUGCUGCGGCAAGGCUCAGAUCUCGCAAGAGUUAACUCUAGCCCCGCAGGCUAGAGUUCACUCUCCACUGGACCACCAGGGAUGGCACAUGGCAGUAAGGAUUUACUACUCUGCCCCUACCUCCACAAUCCCUCCAAACAUACAGCACCUACACACAUACAGCUCAUACACACACAGUACACUAACCGCACCCUCACAAACACACACAGCACCUUUAAAAAAACACAACACCCUCACACACAGCACACUAACAGCACCCUCACAAACACACACACACACAAACAGCACCCUCACAAAUACACAACACUCACACAAACAGCACCCUCACAGGACAAACACACACAAAAACCCUCACACACAAACAGCACAGUCACACACACAAACACCCUUACAUCACACUAACUGCACCCUUACACAUACAUCACACUAACAGCACACAGCACCCUCACACAGCACACUAACAGCACACACAGCAGUGUAUGUGUGUGUAUGUGUGUGUGUAUAUAUAUACAUCUAUAUACACACACAUAUAUGCGGCGUGUGUUUGUGCUUUAGGGUGCACACCCUAAUGCAAUAGGCUGCGCAUGCCUAUGAUACAUACACUGCUGUUAGUGUGCUGUGUGAGGGUGCUGUGUGUGCUGUUAGUGUGAUGUGUGUGUGAGGGUACUGUUAAUGUGAUGUGUGGGUGAGGGUGUUUGUGACGGUGCUGUUUGUGUGUGAGGGUGUUGUGUUUGUUCUGUGAGGGUGCUGUGUGUGUGAGGGUGCUGUUUGUGUGAGUGUCAUGUAUUUGUGAGGGUGCUGUUUGAGUGUGUGUGUUUGUGAGGGUGCUGUUAGUGUGCUGUGUGAGGGUGUUGUGGUUUUUUUAAAGGUGCUGUGUGUGUUUGUGAGGGUGCGGUUAGUACACUGUGUGUGUGUGAGCGUGCUGUGUGAGCUGUAUGUGUGUAGGUGCUGUGGGUGCUGUAUGUGUAUGUGUGCUGUAUGUUUGGAGGGAUUGUGGAGGUGGGGGCAGAUUAGUAAAUAUCCCCCCUCCCUUCUGACCUUAUGUAGGGAGGGUGGAUCCUUGCUGCCAUGUGCCAUCCCUGGUGGUCCAGUGGAUGGCACAUGGCAGCAGGGCUAGAGUUAACUCUCGCGAGAUCUGAGCGUUGCCACGGCAAUGCUCAGAUAUUGCGAAAGGAACCUGGCGGAGCUGCUGUCUAGAGCUCCCUGGGUCCUCUCCUGCCUCCCUCCAUGCUGCUGUGGGCUGGUGAGGUAGAUCUUUGGUCUCCCCGCCGGCCCAUGGAGGCGUAGAGCAGAGCCGUCAUUCAGAUAGCACCGGCUCUGCGUGAGCCGACAGGGGAGAUCAGGAGAUCUUCCCUGCCGGCAGGGUACAAGUCCUGUGGAAUAAUGUGUGGGAACUCUCCCAAGAUUCCCACACCCGCCCCCCCAAAAAAUAAUAUACACUCGUGUGUGUGGUUGUGUGUACAUAUAUAUAUACGUACACACACACUCACUCACUCACAGACACUCACACACAGACACAUGCCGUGGAGCUGUGGGGCUCUGUUAUACACUCAGACACAUUACUGGGAGUAUUAUUGCUGUGGAGCUCUGUUAUACACUCAGACACAUUACUGGGAGUAUUAUUACUGUGGAGCUCUGUUAUUCACUCAGACACAUCACUGGGAGUAUUAUUACUGUGGAGCUCUGUUAUACACUCAGACACAUUACUGGGAGUAUUAUUACUGUGGAGCUCUGUUAUACACUCAGACACAUCACUGGGAGUAUUAUUACUGUGGAGCUCUGUUAUACACUCAGACACAUCACUGGGAGUAUUAUUGCUGUGAAGCUUUUUUUAUUCACUCAAACACACCAAAAUAUAUAGAGCUACUAGAAAAGAGGAACAAUGGGAUAAAAAAGAGGCAAAGAAGGAUUUGGCCUCAAAAUAGGGAUUGUGUUUCCUAAAUAGGGACACUUGGGAGGUAUUGUUAGUUGUAGUUACUGUGUCUCAUUUGUGGUGUGGGGCCCAAUAAUAACCACUUAUACUCCACAGCACUAGGGGGCAGCAGAGGUGCCACUCACCUAACACCAUGUGCAGUGACUGAGACGGCUGCAAAGUCUUACAACAAAGACAAGAAAACGAAUAUGGUGGUGCUGUCUCUCCCUCCAUCCUGCGUCCCUAGGCGCAGGCCUCGUCGCUUCCUCUCUGACACCCCAUCUGAAUCUUUAAAAAAAAAAAAACUGUUUUACUAAACAAAACAAUCCCUUUGAAAGGCCCCAAUUACAUGGAGGCGGCUCCUGCAUUAAGGAAAUGCGAGAGAAUGAACAGCCGUGCAAUAAUGGAAGGAUUAACUGCAGCAAGCGUUUUUACUAAUGCACUAAAGAAAGCCUCUUCCUCUCUCCUCUGCUCUGUUGGAAGAACUCAAGAGAAGCUUUACUAAGUGAAAUCUGAACCCCAGCCACAUGGACAGGAGAAAUCCAGCCACCCAGUUAGAGGCAGACUGGGGUCGGAGCUGUAUAUCCCAUGUAUGAAAGAUAAUGAAAUAUAUCCAUAGGUGUGUACAGUUGGAUGGACACUGCCUGAGUUUGAGCUCCUGUUUAAUUGGUGACACUUGUAAAAAGAAAUACAAUACGUACAGCAUUAAAUACUCCUCUACAGCCUUUCUGUAUGGUAUAUAUUUUCAAAAUGCAUCACAGAUAAAGGUCAGAGCUUAAACUAAUUUUAAAGAGAUUUUCUGCCAUCAAAACAACAUAUCUCAAUUAAAUUGUUUUGAUGGCUUGAGUUCCUGGUGGAGCCAUUUUACCUUGGUGUGUUAAAUCGUUUUAAAAUAAUGUAACGCCUAAUGUGCUUUUGAGCGCCCGUCCGUACUCUCCAAUCCCUCGGGUGCAAUCCUGAGCAGAAAAUUAAAGUAUUGCCAAGUGAUGGGUGUAGACGAAAACAAACAAAAAAAAAAUUAAUGGCGUGCAUGAAAUAGUUGGGUUGUUAAAUUGUUUGAAUGUGGUUUUACAUUUUAAAAUAUCUUCAUUGAGAUAAAGUGGUUUUGAUGGUAGAAAUUUCCUUUAACCCCUUAAGGACACAUGACAUGUGUGACAUGUCAUGAUUCCCUUUUAUUCCAGAAGUUUGGUCCAUAAGGGGUUAAACCACAGCUGACAAAUUGCCCUAGGGUAUUCUUGGUAUACAAUCCUCAUAAGUCGAUUCAGGCUUUGGCUUUAAAUUCUGGGAGAUGUAGUCCAUUAACAGCAAUUUGACAAUUGUAUGCUAAAAAUAUAGGGUUCAGACUGAUAUAGGCAUACACGUAAUUAUUAUAUUUAUAAAAUAUCAGAUUCCAUAAGGCCACCAUAGCACUGAUACAAAAAAAAUGUUUUUCAGGUUAAAUUACAACAGGUUAGAGCUACAAAUACCAUUAAUUAUUUAUUGUGGGAGGUUAAAUUCUAUAACA